Molecule: ribosomal RNA, 138 nt
Filed under: Thermoanaerobacterium sp. enrichment culture clone gang 9
Lineage: Bacteria; Bacillati; Bacillota; Clostridia; Thermoanaerobacterales; Thermoanaerobacteraceae
Description: partial 16S ribosomal RNA
Rfam family: Bacterial small subunit ribosomal RNA
Source: RNAcentral
CCUACGGGAGGCAGCAGUGGGGAAUAUUGUGCAAUGGGGGAAACCCUGACACAGCGACGCCGCGUGAGUGAAGAAGGCCUUCGGGUCGUAAAGCUCAAUAGUAUGGGAAGAAACUGGCGGUCCCAUACGAAGCCCCGG